GCCUCGGUGGCGGAGGGUCCGCAUCUGAAAACAGUUAUUAAUUUGCUGACAGACCACUACUGCAUGUUAUAUAUUAUGCAGACGCAGCUCGUUCGAUUCGAGCCCGAGGCA
Mycena leptocephala is the source of this 111-nucleotide non-coding RNA. Lineage: Eukaryota; Fungi; Basidiomycota; Agaricomycetes; Agaricales; Mycenaceae. The record is from the annotation of a GenBank genome assembly.